RNAcentral lists this ribosomal RNA (253 nucleotides) under uncultured bacterium. RNAcentral's name for it is "partial 16S ribosomal RNA". It matches the Rfam family "Bacterial small subunit ribosomal RNA", at positions 524 to 776 of the family's 1533-position model. The record is from RNAcentral.
UACGGAGGGGGCUAGCGUUGUUCGGAAUUACUGGGCGUAAAGCGCACGUAGGCGGAUAUUUAAGUCAGGGGUGAAAUCCCGGGGCUCAACCCCGGAACUGCCUUUGAUACUGGGUAUCUCGAGUCCGGAAGAGGUGAGUGGAAUUCCGAGUGUAGAGGUGAAAUUCGUAGAUAUUCGGAGGAACACCAGUGGCGAAGGCGGCUCACUGGUCCGGUACUGACGCUGAGGUGCGAAAGCGUGGGGAGCAAACAGG